UUACACACGUAGUCGUCACCGCCACUAAAUUCCGCUCCGUCUACGCAUUCCGGAUGGUAAAGACAGAGGCAGACGCGGCAUUGAAGACUCGGGAUUAGCCCCAUGCUCGAAGAACAACGUAUACUGCACGGUUCCUGGACCUUGGCCCUGCAAGAUGUGCGCCGGUUCGAGGAUGGGGAUUUGGGAAUUACAAGAGAAUGAACAAAAAAAUAUAUAUAAAAAUAUAUUUUGUAGGAGGAAUAGAAUGGGAGUUCAGGAGUGAAAUUCAGGAGAACAGGGGAAGGCUUCUCAACAGCAGGUUGACUCCUUCUCGCUGUUGGAGAACUCCAUUGUGGCGGUAACAUUUCACUUUCUUCGACCGGGGGUUUAGUCUCAACCA
This 379-nucleotide unclassified non-coding RNA is filed under the name Athalia rosae (coleseed sawfly). RNAcentral describes it as "misc RNA ENSAEAG00005011413.1". Lineage: Eukaryota; Metazoa; Arthropoda; Insecta; Hymenoptera; Athaliidae. The record is from RNAcentral.